GACGAACGCUGGCGGCGUGCCUAAUACAUGCAAGUCGAGCGAUGAAGCUUUGUGCUUGCGCCAAGUUGGAGUGCAGCGAACGGGUGAGUAACGCGUGUGGCAUCUGCCUUUGAGCGGGGGACAACAUUGGGAAACGAAUGCUAAUACCGCAUAAUCACUUUAAACAUAGGUUUUGAGUGUGAAAGAUGCAAUUGCAUCACUCAAAGACGAUCCCGCGUUGUAUUAGCUAGGUGGUGAGUUACAGGCGCACCAAGGCGAGGAUACAGAGCCGACCUGAGAGGGUGGUCGGCCGCAUUGGGAGUGUGACCCGCCCCAAACUCCUUCGGGAGGCACCCGUAGUGCAUCUUCGGCCAUGGGCGGAAGUCUGACCGCGCUGCGCCGAGUCAGGAAAGAAGGUUGUCGGGUCGUAAAACUCGGUUGGUAGGGAAGAACGCGCGUGAGACUGGAAAGAUCAUCAAGUGACGGUAACUGCCCAGGAAGCGCCGGCUAACUACGUG
RNAcentral lists this ribosomal RNA (497 nucleotides) under uncultured bacterium. RNAcentral describes it as "partial 16S ribosomal RNA". It matches the Rfam family "Bacterial small subunit ribosomal RNA", at positions 28 to 507 of the family's 1533-position model. The record is from RNAcentral.